This 490-nucleotide ribosomal RNA is filed under the name uncultured bacterium. RNAcentral's name for it is "bacterial SSU rRNA". It matches the Rfam family "Bacterial small subunit ribosomal RNA", at positions 29 to 512 of the family's 1533-position model. The record is from RNAcentral.
AUUGAACGCUGGCGGCGUGCUUAACACAUGCAAGUCGAGCGGCAGCGCGGGAGCAAUCCUGGCGGCGAGCGGCGAACGGGUGAGUAAUGCUUCGGAAUCUGCCCUUCAGUGGGGAAUAACCAGUCGAAAGACUGGCUAAUACCGCAUACGAACUGAGGUUGAAAGCAGGGGAUCGCAAGACCUUGCGCUGAUGGAUGAGCCGAAGUCGGAUUAGCUUGUUGGUGGGGUAAUGGCCUACCAAGGCGACGAUCCGUAGCUGGUCUGAGAGGACGACCAGCCACACUGGGACUGAGACACGGCCCAGACUCCUACGGGAGGCAGCAGUGGGGAAUAUUGGACAAUGGGGGGCAACCCUGAUCCAGCGACGCCGCGUGUGUGAAGAAGGCCUGCGGGUUGUAAAGCACUUUUAGUGGGGAGGAAGGUCUGCGACCUAACACGUCGUGGAAUUGACUUAACCCACAGAAAAAGCACCGGCUAACUCUGUGCCAGC